This 468-nucleotide ribosomal RNA is filed under the name uncultured bacterium. Its description in RNAcentral is "partial 16S ribosomal RNA". It matches the Rfam family "Bacterial small subunit ribosomal RNA", at positions 28 to 507 of the family's 1533-position model. The record is from RNAcentral.
GACGAACGCUGGCGGCGUGCUUAACACAUGCAAGUCGAACGGAAAGGCCCUGCUUUUGUGGGGUGCUCGAGUGGCGAACGGGUGAGGAACACGUGAGUAACCUGCCCUUGACUUUGGGAUAACUUCAGGAAACUGGGGCUAAUACCGGAUAGGAGCUCCUGCUGCAUGGUGGGGGUUGGAAAGUUUCGGCGGUUGGGGAUGGACUCGCGGCUUAUCAGCUUGUUGGUGGGGUAGUGGCUUACCAAGGCUUUGACGGGUAGCCGGCCUGAGAGGGUGAACGGCCACAUUGGGACUGAGAUACGGCCCAGUGUCCUACGGGAGGCAGCAGUGGGGAGUAUUGCACAAUGGGAGGAAGCCGGAUGCAGCAACGCCGCGUGCGGGAUGACGGCCUUCGGGUUGUAAACCGCUUUCGCCUGUGACGAAGCGUGAGUGACGGUAAUGAGUAAAGAAGCACCGGCUAACUACGUG